RNAcentral lists this ribosomal RNA (1014 nucleotides) under Keithomyces neogunnii. RNAcentral describes it as "SSU rRNA". It matches the Rfam family "Eukaryotic small subunit ribosomal RNA", at positions 87 to 1110 of the family's 1831-position model. The record is from RNAcentral. Lineage: Eukaryota; Fungi; Ascomycota; Sordariomycetes; Hypocreales; Clavicipitaceae.
CUGCGAAUGGCUCAUUAUAUAAGUUAUCGUUUAUUUGAUAGUACCUUACUACUUGGAUAACCGUGGUAAUUCUAGAGCUAAUACAUGCUAAAAAUCCCGACUUCGGAAGGGAUGUAUUUAUUAGAUUAAAAACCAAUGCCCNUCUGGGCUCUCUGGUGAUUCAUGAUAACUUCUCGAAUCGCAUGGCCUUGCGCCGGCGAUGGUUCAUUCAAAUUUCUUCCCUAUCAACUUUCGAUGUUUGGGUAGUGGCCAAACAUGGUUGCAACGGGUAACGGAGGGUUAGGGCUCGACCCCGGAGAAGGAGCCUGAGAAACGGCUACUACAUCCAAGGAAGGCAGCAGGCGCGCAAAUUACCCAAUCCCGAUUCGGGGAGGUAGUGACAAUAAAUACUGAUACAGGGCUCUUUUGGGUCUUGUAAUUGGAAUGAGUACAAUUUAAAUCCCUUAACGAGGAACAAUUGGAGGGCAAGUCUGGUGCCAGCAGCCGCGGUAAUUCCAGCUCCAAUAGCGUAUAUUAAAGUUGUUGUGGUUAAAAAGCUCGUAGUUGAACCUUGGGCCUGGCUGGCCGGUCCGCCUCACCGCGUGUACUGGUCCGGCCGGGCCUUUCCCUCUGUGGAACCCCAUGCCCUUCACUGGGUGUGGCGGGGAAACAGGACUUUUACUUUGAAAAAAUUAGAGUGCUCCAGGCAGGCCUAUGCUCGAAUACAUUAGCAUGGAAUAAUAAAAUAGGACGCGCGGUUCUAUUUUGUUGGUUUCUAGGACCGCCGUAAUGAUUAAUAGGGACAGUCGGGGGCAUCAGUAUUCAAUUGUCAGAGGUGAAAUUCUUGGAUUUAUUGAAGACUAACUACUGCGAAAGCAUUUGCCAAGGAUGUUUUCAUUAAUCAGGAACGAAAGUUAGGGGAUCGAAGACGAUCAGAUACCGUCGUAGUCUUAACCAUAAACUAUGCCGACUAGGGAUCGGACGAUGUUAUUUUNUUGACUCGUUCGGCACCUUACGAGAAAUCAAAGUGCUUGG